RNAcentral lists this ribosomal RNA (616 nucleotides) under uncultured bacterium. RNAcentral describes it as "bacterial SSU rRNA". It matches the Rfam family "Bacterial small subunit ribosomal RNA", at positions 94 to 743 of the family's 1533-position model. The record is from RNAcentral.
AGUGGCGUACGGGUGAGUAGCGCGUAGGAACCAACCCUGGAGUGUGGGACAACCUCGGGAAACUGAGGCUAAUACCGCAUAGCCCCUCAGGGGGAAAGGAGUGAUCCGCUCCAGGACGGGCCUGCGCCCGAUUAGCUAGUUGGUAGGGUAAAAGCUUACCAAGGCGACGAUCGGUAGCUGGUCUGAGAGGACGGCCAGCCACACUGGGACUGAGACACGGCCCAGACUCCUGCGGGAGGCAGCAGUGGGGGAUAUUGGACAAUGGGCGAAAGCCUGAUCCAGCCAUGCCGCGUGAGUGAAGAAGGCCUUCGGGUUGUAAAUCUCUUUCAGCAGGGAAGAUGAUGACGGUACCUGCAGAAGAAGCCCCGGCUAACUUCGUGCCAGCAGCCGCGGUAAUACGAAGGGGGCUAGCGUUGUUCGAAAUUACUGGGCGUAAAGGGCAUGCAGGCGGUUUAGUCAGUCAGAGGUGAAAGCCCAGGGCUCAACCCUGGAAGGGCCUUUGAGACGGCUAGACUUGAGUCCGGGAGAGGAUGGCGGAAUUCCCAGUGUAGAGGUGAAAUUCGUAGAUAUUGGGAAGAACACCAGUGGCGAAGGCGGCCAUCUGGACCGGUUCUGA